UACGUAGGGUGCAGGCGUUACUCGGAAUUACUGGGCGUAAAGCGUGCGCAGGCGGUCUCUUAAGACAGAGGUGAAAUCCCCGGGCUCAACCUGGGAACGGCCUUUGUGACUGCAUAGCUAGAGUACGGUAGAGGGGGAUGGAAUUCCGCGUGUAGCAGUGAAAUGCGUAGAUAUGCGGAGGAACACCGAUGGCGAAGGCAAUCCCCUGGACCUGUACUGACGCUCAUGCACGAAAGCGUGGGGAGCAAACAGG
Molecule: ribosomal RNA, 253 nt
Filed under: uncultured bacterium
Lineage: Bacteria
Description: partial 16S ribosomal RNA
Rfam family: Bacterial small subunit ribosomal RNA
Source: RNAcentral